RNAcentral lists this ribosomal RNA (429 nucleotides) under Gemmatimonadota bacterium. Its description in RNAcentral is "Gemmatimonadetes bacterium partial 16S ribosomal RNA". It matches the Rfam family "Bacterial small subunit ribosomal RNA", at positions 355 to 776 of the family's 1533-position model. The record is from RNAcentral. Lineage: Bacteria; Pseudomonadati; Gemmatimonadota.
UAGGGAAUCUUCGGCAAUGGACGAAAGUCUGACCGAGCAACGCCGCGUGCGUGAAGAAGGUUUUCGGAUCGUAAAACUCUGUUGUUAGAGAAGAACAAGGACGUUAGUAACUGAACGUCCCCUGACGGUAUCUAACCAGAAAGCCACGGCUAACUACGUGCCAGCAGCCGCGGUAAUACGUAGGUGGCAAGCGUUGUCCGGAUUUAUUGGGCGUAAAGCGAGCGCAGGCGGUUUCUUAAGUCUGAUGUGAAAGCCCCCGGCUCAACCGGGGAGGGUCAUUGGAAACUGGGAGACUUGAGUGCAGAAGAGGAGAGUGGAAUUCCAUGUGUAGCGGUGAAAUGCGUAGAUAUAUGGAGGAACACCAGUGGCGAAGGCGGCUCUCUGGUCUGUAACUGACGCUGAGGCUCGAAAGCGUGGGGAGCAAACAGG